This 315-nucleotide unclassified non-coding RNA is filed under the name Hevea brasiliensis (rubber tree). The record is from RNAcentral. Lineage: Eukaryota; Viridiplantae; Streptophyta; Magnoliopsida; Malpighiales; Euphorbiaceae.
GCCUGCUCCGGGAUGAGAAACUCGGAGAACCGGUUGGAGUUGUGCCUCCUCUAUAAGUGGCAUUAAAUGAAGUGUAUGCUGCCUUGGCUGGUUCGGGAACCGAAUCUAAUGGAAUCGACUCUGCGAAGCAAGCAGUGUUUAUUCGUGUUCUCUCAAGCUCUUGUUGAAGCAAUUCUGUGCUGUACUGCUGUGCCAGUGCAAUGAGUUCAUCUGGGGCAGUUGCUCCCUGUUGUCGUUCAUCUAGAGCUUCCUCGCUCCCACGAGUUGGCCGACGAUUAUGGCCUGGAUUAUCAGCUGCCUCUGUCACACUUUCAG